GGGCCUGUAGCUCAGUUGGCUAGAGCGCACCCCUGAUAAGGGUGAGGUCGGAAGUUCAAUUCUUCCCAGGCCCACCA
RNAcentral lists this transfer RNA (77 nucleotides) under Anaerolineaceae bacterium. Its description in RNAcentral is "tRNA-Ile". It matches the Rfam family "tRNA". Rfam says of the family: Transfer RNA (tRNA) molecules are approximately 80 nucleotides in length. Their secondary structure includes four short double-helical elements and three loops (D, anti-codon, and T loops). RNAcentral also lists the same sequence under 1 other name. Lineage: Bacteria; Bacillati; Chloroflexota; Anaerolineae; Anaerolineales; Anaerolineaceae. The record is from RNAcentral.